This 717-nucleotide ribosomal RNA is filed under the name Rainieria antennaepes. Its description in RNAcentral is "partial 12S ribosomal RNA". Lineage: Eukaryota; Metazoa; Arthropoda; Insecta; Diptera; Micropezidae. The record is from RNAcentral.
AUGUAAAUUUUUGUGUGAGUUUAUACUUAUUUUAAAAAUAAGUAUUAAUAUAAUAAACGCAGUAAUUAGUUUUAUAAAUCAAGUAAUUUUGGAUAUAGUGAUAUUAACUAGUAUUGACUAAAUUUGUGCCAGCAGUCGCGGUUAGACGAAUAAUACAAGUAAAUUUUAUUAGACUGAGUUAAAUGUUUAUGAAUUUAUUUAUAUUAAUUAUUAGGUGAAAUUUUAAAUUAAUUUUAGUAAUAUUUUUAAGUUAUUUGAAGCUUGUAAAUUUUAAUUAAAAACUAGGAUUAGAUACCCUAUUAUUUGAAAUUAUUUUAUAGUCUUAGGUAGUAGUAGUAGUUAUGGUCUUGAAACUUAAAAAAUUUGGCGGUAUUUUAGUCUAUCCAGAGGAACCUGUUCUGUAAUCGAUAAUCCGCGUUGGACCUUACUUAAUAAUGUUUUCAGUUUAUAUACCGUCGUUAUAAGAAUAUUUUAUUAGAAUAAUAAUUUUCUUGAAAUUUUAUUAAAAUUUAUAUCAGAUCAAGGUGUAGCUAAUGAUUAAGUAGAAAUGGGUUACAAUAAAUUUAUUUAUACGGAUUUAAAUAUGAAAAAUUUUUUGAAGGUGGAUUUGGCAGUAAAAUUAUAAAUGUUAUUAAUUUGAUUUUGGCUCUAAAAUAUGCACACAUCGCCCGUCGCUCUUGUUAUUAAAAUAAGAUAAGUCGUAACAUAGUAGAUGUA